Molecule: ribosomal RNA, 442 nt
Filed under: Achromobacter insolitus
Lineage: Bacteria; Pseudomonadati; Pseudomonadota; Betaproteobacteria; Burkholderiales; Alcaligenaceae
Description: bacterial SSU rRNA
Rfam family: Bacterial small subunit ribosomal RNA
Source: RNAcentral
CUCAGAUUGAACGCUAGCGGGAUGCCUUACACAUGCAAGUCGAACGGCAGCACGGACUUCGGUCUGGUGGCGAGUGGCGAACGGGUGAGUAAUGUAUCGGAACGUGCCCAGUAGCGGGGGAUAACUACGCGAAAGCGUAGCUAAUACCGCAUACGCCCUACGGGGGAAAGCAGGGGAUCGCAAGACCUUGCACUAUUGGAGCGGCCGAUAUCGGAUUAGCUAGUUGGUGGGGUAACGGCUCACCAAGGCGACGAUCCGUAGCUGGUUUGAGAGGACGACCAGCCACACUGGGACUGAGACACGGCCCAGACUCCUACGGGAGGCAGCAGUGGGGAAUUUUGGACAAUGGGGGAAACCCUGAUCCAGCCAUCCCGCGUGUGCGAUGAAGGCCUUCGGGUUGUAAAGCACUUUUGGCAGGAAAGAAACGUCGUGGGUUAAUACC